CAGAACAAGACUCCAUCUCAAAAAAAAGAAAAGUAUGCAAUGGGCCUAGGCUCUGUUCUCAACUUCUGAGUAAGCACUCCCACAGCUAUGCCUUUCUUUUCUGCUACAUACAGGAAGGGCUUGGUGAGGUUUGGAAUGCUGAGUGCACGAGCCUGGCUGAGAGCCCGUUUUAACUUGGUGAAAGUCUCCCUCAUUUCUAGGGUUCAUUCCAUUGGCUCAUCUUAAGGUCCCCUUGUUGCCUUGUAAAGGGGCUUUGCUAUGUGCCCGAAAUUUGGGAUUUGUAUCCUAUAGAAUUCAGCCAUUCCAAGUGAAGCUGCUGCUUGGCCUGUGAAUUAAUUUUGGUGCCCAUGACAUCCAGAGUUACCCAGGGAUCCUAAGUGGUAGUGAUGAUGUCCCUGGGUCCCAUGAGUCUUCAUCUGAUCCCUCCUUAUGUGCUGCUAGAGUUUUGACUGAUGGAGCCCCUUGGUGGGAGCAGGGGCAGUCAAUUAUCCAGUGCCAGAGGUCACGACUGGUGCCCUCACAUUGGCAGCACAGGCCCUGCGUGGGCUUAGUGCAGUACUUUGCCUAGUGCCCACUUUUCUUGCACUUGUAACCAGAGCUUUUGCCGGCAUUGUCCUUGGGACCCUUUGGGUUUUCCUUGGAUGACUUUUGGGCAUUUAGGGCAUCACCAGUGACAGUUGCCAUAAUUUUGGCUGUUUUUCUUUAGUGUAUUCCCUUUCCACUUCCUCCAGAUCACGUUUGUUAUAUACCAUGCAGGUGGUAUCAAUAAGCUGAUUUUGAUUAGUUUGUGGUCCCAUGUGUAGCUUCUGGAUUUUAUGCCUAAUGUCCAGGGCAGCUUGGCUAAUGAAAUCCUGUGCCAUUAGUACUUUGCCUUCAGGAGGGGGAGGGUCCAGGUUGGUGUAUUUUUUAAAAGCCUUUUCCAAUCCACUAUAAAAUAUAGCUUUCCUCCUUAACCUGUGUAAUUUCCCUUAAUUUACUGCCUUAGUCAUUUCCUUUCUCAUUCCUCCCAGGUGAGCUUCAAGGAAUUUGGCUGGGUUGUUCAUUCCCAUAGGGGUGUUAUAGUUCCAGUUACAGUCAGUGAUGGGGACUGUAUCUGGGCCCAGGCAAUUGCCCUCGGAGUUUCCGGCAAACAGCUUGUUUGCUUCACGUUGGGCGGCCUCAGAAAUACAUUCUUUCUCCAGAGGAGUGCAACAAGUUGCCAGGAUACAUUGAACAUCUUUCUGUGAGAGAUCGAAGGCUAAGGUUAAAGUUUGGAAGCCGUCUGCAAAUCUCCUGGGGUUCUCAGAAUAAAUUCCUAACUUAUCCUUUCAUUGCUGUAUAUCAGUUAUGGAGAAGGGGGCCUCCACUUAGAUUAGCCCCUCAACUCCUGCUACUUCCCUUGGGGGAAAUAGAGCUGGACAGGGAAUUGAAUAAGGUGUUCCCCUGGAAGUGUGUGGGGGAACUUAGUGGAGUUUCCGGCUCCUGUUCCUGGGUUUGAUCCUCAGGAGCACUUGGCAAGGGGUUGUAUGGAGGUGGUUACAGUUCCCCCUAAGAAACAGUGGCCCUUGCAGAAAGGGGUCAUCUAUAACAUCUGGUUCUACUUUAGGAAUUUUUUCUCUUUGAGGGCAAAAUUUGGAAGCCUUACAAAUUGAAGGGUUUUGGUGCAGGGCCAUAAAGGCUUAAACAUGGUAUUUCUGACCAUUUACCCUGCCUUUUACAAAAUAAGUCUAAUUGCAGGAUAGUGUCAUGACUGAGACUCCUAUUGACUAGCCAUUGCUCCUGGCUAUCUAGAGGAUACUGGGGCCAAACAGUAUUACAGUAAAAAAAACAAAUGUUUCCCUACUAUAUUGUCAGGGUUAAAUUGGUUCCAAUUAUUGAGGAUGCAGCUGAGUGGGGAGUCAGGUGGUAUGGAUGGAGUAUUUCCUAUUGUUGUUUGUAAGAGAGAAAAAGUUCUGAGGAGGGUUUAAUACUAGACCUCAGAACCUCCAUCUAGGGUCUUCCCCUUCAGAGAGGUUGUGGCCUAGGAUUGGAUCUCCCAAGGAGUCCCCCUUUGGGGUCCAAUCUUAGAGUGUCAGACAUCUCUGACCUUAGGUGGGCACCAGUGCUGCUUUGAAUGCUUUCCCUUCAUAGACAAUGGCCUAGUAUGAUUCCCUUCGUUCUUGGAUAUGGUUCUUGGCUUUUGGCAUCCUUGUAGCUGGCCACAAUAGUUUCUUCCCAAAUGGUUUCCUUAACCAUUGUUGUAAGUACAGUUUGAAGGGCAAGGGAUGGCAGACUGCCUAAUUUAAACUUGUUGGAGACUGGCCUCUCAAUAAGGGAGCAUGGUGCUCUCUGACUGUACCAGAUAAACCAGGAGCAGAGAUUACCCCAUGGAUCCACUGUGCAAUUUAUACAGUGAUCCAAGAGUCUCCACCAGGAUUCUUCUCUUAGUACCAGAUCUACUAAACUCAAAUGAUCUAGAAGUGGUCCCUUACAAAAGAAGCACAGCACUUUCCCUAUCCAAGUGGUUGGUCCCUAACCUUUAGGCUAAUGUUUGCUGUUGGAGCCUCCAUAGUCAGUUACCUAUUGCCCUGGCCCUUUGGGUUUGGGGUACAUCUCUAAUUGGUCUAAACAUGUUAUCCCAACACAAGCAGCAAAUAAAUAUAAUAUUAUAGUCACAAAAACAUGCACCUCAUGGCGGUAGGGAUUUAUCUUGUGCCCCUAUUUGUUGCAUUCCCUGACAGGCUGACUCUACGAGGGAAUUUUAGCAUAAGAAAAGGAGGGUUAAAGGCACCUGAAAUGUUUAUGUAUUCACCCUGGACAAGCCGCCACUGCCAGUUGCAUCACAUGUAGGGCUCAGGAACUAUAACCAGGAAAGAUAGAAAAGAAUCCCACUUCCAGGCCGGGCAGCUAACCCCACUCACUCUUUGGCUUUCAGGCAACACUGGAGAGUGGCCUGGGCCAGUUGCCCUCAAUUACCAACGAGCUACUGGGAAAUGGCUGCUGAAGGACUAAAAAGAAAAGGACUCAGGACCCCACCUGAAGCAGGCGAUGAUGGUUAGGUGUAAGGAAGAACAGAAGGAUCCAAGUGUGAGAAAGCCCACCCUGAGUCUCUCAGAGAUUCAUUUCACUACCAGGUCAAAGACACAAUCAAAAGCCCGACAAAUGGAAUUUGUGGAAUUGGAACAAAAAGCUUUUCUUCCUAGGCACAAGAACAUCAAAGCAUAAAUCCUUCAGGUAUCAGCAAUGACAUCACUUAAGAAUUUCUCAGAAUCUUUGGCACCACCCCAGGCCUACCGGAUCAGAAUCUGAAUUUUUUAACAAGAUCUCAGAUCUAGUCAAGAGUCCAGUCUGAUUUCUCUUUAUUGGGACUACCACCCAAAGCAGAAUGAGGAUGAUGUAACCACGCCCAGUGACUUCUGGAUACCACUGACUCUAGAUCCUGAAUUCCAGCAGAAUGGCUGACACCAACUGGUCUGAAGACCCUCACCAAGGAACUGACUCAGUGCAGGAAUGCAGUUUCUUCAUCUCCCUAUCCCUGACUUCACCCCUCACUUCUCAACCAAUCAGUGAUCACCACACUUUAGGCCAUCACCUGUGUCCAGACCCCUUAAAAACCCCAUCUGCAAACCUCUUGAAGAGGCAUAUUUGAGGUUUCCUCUCAUCUCCUCAUUUGGUUUCCCUACAAUUAUUAAAUUCUUUCUCUGCUGCAACUCCUACUUUUUCAGUGUAUUGGUCUGUUACUGUGCAACAGGAAAUCAGACCUGGUGGUCCUAUAGUAAGAGUUCACAGAAUAUGAUAUACAAAGUGAUCUGUGAUAUACAAAAACCGGCACAAUCUCACUCUUAAUAAGAAAAAUUCAACUUAAAAUUAAAAGUUUUUUUUCCUCAGAAUGGCAAAGAUCAAAGUUUGAUAACAUGGUUGGAAAGUAUGCAGACCGAUAUUCUCAUAUUCAUUGAUGAAGUGUAAAUUGAUACAUCCUUUGUCAGUACGGACAGGUUUCCCAACUCUAGGGGUGAAAUUUAUACAGACUACAGUGUGAAUGACAACCACUUCAAAUUGGGUGAUAUGAUGACCUUGACUCUGUGGAGGGUCAUUUGGCAAAAUAUCUCAAAAUAAAAAUGUACAUACAAUUUGA
Molecule: long non-coding RNA, 4093 nt
Filed under: Homo sapiens (human)
Lineage: Eukaryota; Metazoa; Chordata; Mammalia; Primates; Hominidae
Description: HSALNT0320855
Source: RNAcentral